RNAcentral lists this non-coding RNA (165 nucleotides) under Microbulbifer rhizosphaerae. Lineage: Bacteria; Pseudomonadati; Pseudomonadota; Gammaproteobacteria; Cellvibrionales; Microbulbiferaceae. The record is from RNAcentral.
CAAUCCGCGAGGGGCGGUCCGGAGGAAGCCACUAGCAAAACUGCGAGCCGACGGACAGAAACAUCAUAUAAGGCCUGGCCUUGAGGCGAGUCAGCACCAGAUGACGAAGCCACGUGAUCUAACGGGUAGGGUAAAUGAUGCGGUUGUGCAGUGAAAGUCCAUGCU